GAUGAACGCUAGCGAUAGGCCUAACACAUGCAAGUCGAGGGGCAUCACAUGAAGUAGCAAUACGGAUGGUGGCGACCGGCGCACGGGUGAGUAACACGUAUGCAACCUGCCUUCAACAAGGGGAUAACCCGUUGAAAGACGGACUAAUACCCUAUAACACAGGGGUCCCGCAUGGGAAUAUUUGUUAAAGGACAACCGGUUGAAGAUGGGCAUGCGUUCCAUUAGCUAGUUGGCGGGGUAACGGCCCACCAAGGCAACGAUGGAUAGGAGAACUGAGAGGUUUAUCCCCCACACUGGUACUGAGACACGGACCAGACUCCUACGGGAGGCAGCAGUGAGGAAUAUUGGUCAAUGGACGCAAGUCUGAACCAGCCACGUCGCGUGAAGGAAGACGGCCCUACGGGUUGUAAACUUCUUUUAUACGGGAAUAAAGUGCCCCACGCGUGGGGUUUUGCAUGUACCGUAUGAAUAAGGAUCGGCUAACUACGUGCCAGCAG
RNAcentral lists this ribosomal RNA (497 nucleotides) under uncultured bacterium. RNAcentral's name for it is "bacterial SSU rRNA". It matches the Rfam family "Bacterial small subunit ribosomal RNA", at positions 28 to 514 of the family's 1533-position model. The record is from RNAcentral.